This 733-nucleotide long non-coding RNA is filed under the name Cricetulus griseus (Chinese hamster). RNAcentral describes it as "lncRNA (ENSCGRG00015035358.1)". The record is from RNAcentral. Lineage: Eukaryota; Metazoa; Chordata; Mammalia; Rodentia; Cricetidae.
GUGAUCAUCACCCUUGAAGCUCAUCCAGCAUAAUAAUGUCUGGGUGUGUCCUGUCAGCUGACUUCCUGUUAAACGGCACGACACUUCCAGAUGCGUCUGUUUGGUUUCUUUACUGAGGUGACAUGUUGCCUAAGGGCCAGGGCCACACCUGACACCUCCCACGCCCUAUUCAGAGCUGAACGCAUUGCUGGUACUCAGUGACCGUAAUCAUUGUCUCUAAGGCAGUGUGAUGACCAUUCUUGGUUGUCAACUUGGUGACAUCUGGAAUUGAAGCAGCAGGAGACACAGAUACAGCAGCCAAGCGCAAGCCAAAGCGGGGAGGAGGGAACCGGGACCAGGGCCAGCAGAAGGAGAGAAGAAGAGCGUGUCCACGUGUCCGUGUCCGAGGUCCUCUUAAGAAGCCUUUUCUACGCCACCUUAGACUUCCCCUCACCCCGCCCUCACGGGCAUGUUCCGGCACACCUGUCCGGGUUACCAGGGGCGGGGCUAGAGUGUCUCCCUACAUGUAUGAGUUGUGAUGCGUGGAUGAGCACACCUACCACACCACCAGCAGUCACGUCAAAGUCCCAUAGAAGGGGACGAGCUUGGAGCUGAGCUGACACAGACACAGGAGUCAAAGCUGGAGGGUUGAUUGGAAAAGGAAACCCCAGAAAAAUCCUGACCCAUCAAAAGCCUUUAAAACUGCCAGCAUGACCACCAUCCACAUUCUGUCUGUGAAGCAUGGAGAAGAGGG